This is a long non-coding RNA of Sceloporus undulatus (fence lizard), 1949 nucleotides long. RefSeq lists it as uncharacterized. Lineage: Eukaryota; Metazoa; Chordata; Lepidosauria; Squamata; Phrynosomatidae. The record is from RefSeq and is a predicted model, not a curated record. The transcript has 3 exons.
AAGCUAUCCAAAAUCUGUUUUGAGUGUGAGGGACAGCAUCUUAGGUACUGUAGCUCUUUUAGUUCUGGCUAAAAUGUAGAAUGUAUUCCUAAUUCCACUGAUAUGGAAACCAUCAGCCCCUGCUGCAUUGAGGUGAUGCUAACCAAUUUGACUCUCAAGACGUCAGCAACAGUUUCAUCACCAGGAAUGCUGUGGGGAGCCUCCAAUUUCAUAUCUUCUCCAUAAUAAUGAAAAGAAGAAGGAAGGAAGGAAGGAAGGAAGGAAGGAAGAAGAGCCCAUGGACUUCUAAUCACAUUUAAUUGUAUCCAUUUUUCUCUCUCACCCUCAUCUUUUCUUUCUCUUUGUUUUCUUUCAUCCAUAACUUCUACAUUUUGUAGGAUCUCAUCUUUAUGUAUUCAAAAACAUAGCCAUGUUAGUCUGUAAAACCAAUAUGUGAAGAUAUCUUGUAGCACCUUUGAGACUAACUGAAAGAAAUUGGCAUCUAAGGAAGUAGACUUAAGGCUAUGAAAGCGCAUGCUGCCAAUUUCUUUCAGUCGGUCUCAAAGGCUCUACAAGAUCUUUUCACAGACUUUUAUGCAUGAUACCUGCAAAACGCCAUAUGCAUUGAUGGUAUAGAAAAUAUAAAGCUCUUCUUUCUGUGCUUUUUUGGUACAACUCAUUCUGGCCCUAUCCACAGCAAGCCAGUCACUUGGCUUGUGGGAGAAAAAAGCAGGGCAUAUUUCCUGCCUCUGCAGAGUCUAUUGAUAGCAACAGGGGCAUCCUGUGGCUUUCAUGUCAAGUGUGUGGUGAAUCCGCCUUUGCUUUUAUUCAUUGAAAGUCCUGGAUCCUGCCCCCCAGAUAGAUUCAUCAUCUUGGAUAGUGCCUAUGAAAUAAGGAUUAAAACCCAACUCUAUGAUUCUAUGAAAAUUUGACUACAUUUCUGACAAAGAAGCUUUCAGCCUUGAUAGCCAAGGAGAAUGAAAACAGGAAACGCUGCACAUCUUUGAGACCUAUUUACUGUAUUUCAGCAUGAGCUUUCAUGGAUACCAAUCAACAUUUUCGGAUGCACUGAUGGAGUAUAAAACUAUAUACUUGUGUGCCUUCAAGUCAUUUCCGACUCAUGACAACCUGAAGGCAACCCUCUCAUGGGGUUUUAUUGGCAUGAUUUCUUCAGAGGGGGAUAGUCAUGAUCUUCCUCAGAGGCUGAGAGUGUGUGAUUUAGACAUAGGUGUUUAAGAACAGCUAUAUAAUUGUGGGAGUAGGAUCAGAAUGUAAUAGGAUACAGAAAAAGGCAAACUGUGACCUUGACCAUAAAUCUUUAAAGAGGUGUAUGAGUUCAUUGAAUUUGUAAAUAUAUCUCAGUUCUUCUGUUUCUCUUAUGAUGUUUAUAGCUAGUGGAGGGGGCAAAUCUUUCAGAGAAUAAUACACAUUUGUUAUAAGGGCAACAUGCACAGAGCAUCUAUAUCCAGACUGUACUUCAGCUGGCUUCAAUACCACCAUAUAUUGAUACAUUAUGAUCAUUUUGGUAUGUGUGUUUGGAAGCACCCCUGGUUUUAAGGACAGAAGACCAUGUGAAAUAGUAUAUUUGUAGGUUCCUGACAGUUGCUUAGAAGGGAUGGAGCCAGCCUGACUUUCUUUAGGAAACAGUUUCACAGUUGAAGAUAACAGUAAAGAAAAAGCCUGUUACAUGGACUCAUCAACUUAGCCUGGGAAGGGGGGCACACAAUUGGAUCAAGUAUAGUAAAACAGCAACCCUAAUCACCAGACAUGCUCUCUGAGGCUGAUGAGAGAUGUGUUUCAAAACACAGCAUCUCUAGAUAAUGCCCCUUUAAAUUGUUUCUCCUGCUUAUAAAAGAAACAUGUAAGAAAAUGCUAGCAAGAAACUCAUAUAGUUAAUGAACCUAUGGACAUAAUCUAUUGGCAUUCCAGUGUAAGUCAGAGUUUACAGUGAUAAGCAAAUGCUCCCCCAU